Acinonyx jubatus (cheetah) is the source of this 4412-nucleotide long non-coding RNA. RefSeq lists it as uncharacterized. Lineage: Eukaryota; Metazoa; Chordata; Mammalia; Carnivora; Felidae. The record is from RefSeq and is a predicted model, not a curated record. The transcript is spliced from 2 exons.
AUGCUAGUCUGUGUUUAACAGAAGUAUUAUGUUCUUGAUUAAAAAUGCAUGAUUCUGGAAGUCAUUGACAAUUUCUUGAAAGGACAUUAGGUCCUUUUAAGGAAAAAUUUCAUGUAGUUUCCCAAUCUGGAUUUAGUAAUAUAUGUACCUCUGUGUUGUAGGUUUGUGGUAGAUAGUCUUUUUAUCACGUUUAAAAAGCUCUUCAUUUGUGGGGCACUGGCAGGCUCAGUGGUUGAGUGUCUGACUCUUGAUUUUGGCUCAGGUCAUGAUCUCACAGUUUGUGAGAUUGAGUCCCUCAUUGGGCUCUGUGCUGACGGUGCAGAGCCUACUUGGGAUUCUCUCCCUCUCCUUCUCUCUUCCUGCCCCUCCCUGGAUCUCCCUCAAAUAAAUAAAUAAACAUUUAAAUAAAAAAAAAAAAAGCUCUUCUCAUGUUCCUAACUUCCUGAGAAGCUUUUGUUUGUGUGCAUGUUUGUUUGUUUUAAUGUUAAUUUUUGAGAGAGACAGUGUGAGUGGGGAAGAGGCAGAGAGAGAAGGAGACACAGAAUCCGAAGCAGGCUCUAGGCUCUGAGCUGUCCGCACAGAGCCCAACGAAGGUGAGAUCAUGACCUGAGACACUCAACUGACUGAGUCACCCAGGAGCCCCUGUUUGUUUUAAAUUAUGAAUAGGUGUUGAAUUUUUUAGGUUUGUUUUCUUCAUCAUUUAUUGAGAUGAUCAGGUAGCUUUUCUCUUUAAAUCUAUUGAAACACAGAAUUCCAUGGCUAGAUUUUCUAAUGUUAACAUAUACUUAGCUUUCUGGAGUAAACUCUACAUGUUGUUACCUGUUUUUGAAUACGUUAUAGAAUUUUCUUUUUUAAGAUUUUUGUUGUUUUCUUGUACAGUUUUGGACUCAGGAUGGUCCUAAUAUAAUAAAAUAAGUUGGGUAGCUCUCUACAUUUUUCUAGAUUUUUGGAAAACAAUUGUAGAAAUUAUCUUUUUCUUGGAAAUUUUUUAAAUCUCACCUUUUAAAAUUGUUCUAGCAUUUCAGUUUCAUCUAUUUUUAGUGGUCUCAUUUGAUUCCUGCUUUUUGAACUAAUUUUAGAAAAAGGGUUUUUUUGGAAAUUUCUCUUAAAAAAUGGUCCAUUUUACUUGAUAUUAUUUUUAUUUUUCAUUAUUUUUUAAGUUUGCUUAAUUUGAGAGCAAGAAAGAGCAUGUGGGUGCCUGCGCUUGAGCAGGGGAAGGGGCGGAGAGAGAGAAUCCCUGUGAGAUCAUGACCUGAGCCAAAAUCGAAAGUCAGAGGCUCAAGCAGUCCACUGAGCUAGCCAGGGUCCCCUCACUUGAUUUUUAAAAAUACGUAUUUAUCUGUGGGGCAGUUGGCUGGCUCAGUCAGUAGAGCAUGCGACUCUUGAUCUUGGGAUUGUAAAUUUGAGCCCCAUGUUGGGUAUAGAUAAAAUCUUUAAAGAAAAUUGUUUAAAGUUGUGUGUAGCGUUCUUUUAUGUGUCCUUUUUGUUCCUCAGUGUUGUUCGUUAAUCAUGUAUCUUUUUUCCCAGUGCUACUUAGCCAUCCAUCUAUUUUGUUGGGCUGUUCAAAGACCUAGCUUUGAAUUUUUUAAAUGCAAAAUGAUCUAUAAAUACAAACUCACUAGUAAUUAAUGGAACCUUAACAGACUACAUUUAUCCUCAGAUUGGUAUACACAAGAACUUAAUUUGUAAUAUCAGGCAUUGGCAGGUAUGUAGAAAAAUGUCUAAUGGCAGUUUGACAGUGGAAUAUAAAUUAUUGUAGAAAGAAAUUUUGUGAUGUCUGUUAAAAUUUUAUUUUAUUUUUAAAGUUUAUUUCUUUAUUUUGAGAAAGAGAAACAUAGAGCAUGAGCAGGGGAGUGGCAGAGAGAGAAGGAGAGAGAGAAUCCCAAGCAGGCUCCUCACUGACAGUGCAGCCAUGAGGUCAUGACCUGAGCCACAGUAGAGUUGGAGGCUUAACUGACUGAGCCAUCCAGGCGCCCCUGUCUAUUAAAAUUUUAAGAGCACAUAUCCCAUGACUAAGCAUUUGAACAUUUUGGAACUUAGGUUAGGUAAAUACAAAUAAAUACACAUAUCAAUUACACACACACACAAAUAUUUGUGUUAAAGUUUGUAAUAGCAAAAACUUGCAAGUAGCCUAAUAUAUAUCAGUUAGGGAAUUCCUUAUGUAAAUGAUGGCAUAUCUAUAUGCUGGACAAUUAUGCAAGAUUAAAUGUUGGUAAUAUGGUUGUUUUAUAUAUAUAGACAGGGAAGCAUCACCACACUAUAAUGUUGAAUCACUGAAGUUAUAUUACAACAUGUAGAGCAUGAUGCCAUUGAUAAAAAAUAAAUACAUAUCUGCAAAACAAUACUAUAUUUUUAGUAGAAAUACACUCAUAAUGUCAAUGUAAAAAAAAAGCUCAAUAUGGAAAAAUAAAUUGAUGUUUGUAGUUAUCUCUGAAGAUUAGGGACAAGACUGAGUGAUGGUCAAGGGAGUUUAGCUUUAUGUGUGAAUUAAAUGGUAAAGAUCAUAAUCAUGUAUUAUCUAUAUAAUUGAAAUUUUAAAAAUUAUGUAGAUCUUAAAGUAUUUAAAGCAAAAGUGCUUUUUUAUUAAGAGUUUCAGAAAUUCAAUAACAUUAAUUGCUGUCUGCCUGGAUAAUAAAUACAAUAUUUUAUUUUGUAUAAAAAUACAAAAUAGCACUUGUAUUUUUAUAAAUACUUUGGAGGAUUUUAAGAAGUAUAAGAUGCUUUUUUCCACAGGAAAAGGCAAGUAUUUUCCUAAACCUUGUUAGAUAAUCCACAACAUGUUUACUACUCCUGUAUUAUUACACUCCUAUAAUCCCAAGGGUCAAACGUAUUGGAAGAAUUCCAGUAUGGGAAAUUAUGUAAAUAAGGUUGGUGGGAUGUAAAGUAAGGCCUUGCCUUCAGUGUAUGUUUUGUAUGGUAUUAGAUGAGGAAAAAAUUAGUUCAACAUAAGUUAUCCUUUGUGACAAUGAAGGGUUGUUUUUGUUGUUUGGUUUUGAAUUUUUUUUAUGUUUAUUUAUUUUUGAGAGAGGGACAGACAGACAGAGCACGAGUGGGGACAAAGGCAGAGAGAGAGGGAGACAUGAAAUCUGAAGCAGGCUCCAGGCUGUGAGCUGUUGGCACACAGCCUGACUCGGGGCUCAUACCGUGAGAUCGUGACCUGAGCCAAAGUCGGACAGUUAACCGACUGAGCCACUCAGGCACCCCCCGUUUUUUAAUUUUAAAAUAGAAUUAGGAACACCGUUUGUAAACUACUGAGGGAGAAAAAGAACUGAGUACACUUCCUAAAUAGAGAGGCUAUAAGUUACUCUGUUUCCAUCAUGUGUCUGAAUUUAUAUGAUGACAGUAGGAAUAGAUGAGAUCAAAUGGUUGUAUUAAAUUUUGCACUAACCUAGACUGAUCUAGAUAUUGUGAAUGACCAGAACAGACUCUAGUGGCUGCCACCCAGGAAGUGUGUAAACAUUUUCUGUUCUGAUUGCAAAGAAUGAGAGAUAAGCUAAUCAGAAAAUGCCAACUUUUUUUUUUAAGUUUAUUUAUUUGUUUUGAGAGAGACAGAAACAGCAUGAGUGGGGGGAGGGGCAGAGAGAGAGAGGGACACAGAGGAUCCAAAGCAGGCUCUGGGCUGCCAGCCUGGAUGGAGCUCAUGUGGGGCUUGAACCCACGAAACCAUGAGAUCAUGACCUGAGCCAAUGUUUUUUAUACAUUAUGCGCCUGCUUGCCUGCUGUAAUGUUGUAGGUGAAUGUAAGCCAGAUACCUGACUCACUCAGUUACUGUUUUCCCUUGACAGCUUAGUCAGGAUCAGUUGUUGUAUAGCAGGGAUGAGUGUAAAUGUGGAACCGGAAGGAGAAAACUAUAUUGUGCGGAGGGAAUGGGAACCAACCGGCCAGUUAUUCCACACUUUUCUGCAUGAUGCUCUGAAGGUUGAAGCUUAAACUGGCAGUUUAGUAAGGUCAUAGAUUUCCAGCCUUUUCUUGAAAUGUAUCUUUACUUUCUUAGUUUCUCUUUUUUUUAACCUUGAGUUAAAAAGUUGCCUUCAUAUGUUUUCAUGACUAAAAUCUGAGAAGUUAACUGUCUUUUUAUUCAUUAUUUAACUAGUUGAGUGUAGUGUAUUCUAGAAACAAGCUAGAAACGUUAUAGAAAUAAAAGUAAUUCUGAAAUAGCCAGGAGGAACCACACUGUUCUUAGAACCAGUAUUUUCUAGGGUCGCCUGGGUGGCUCAGUGGGUUAAGCCUCUGACUUCACCUCAGGUUGUGAUCUCGCAGUUUGUAGGUUCGAGCCCCGUGUCCAGCUCUGUGCUGACAGCUCGGAGCCUGGAGCCUGCUUCGGAUUCUGUGUCUCCGUCUCUCUGUCCCUACCUUGCUCACACUCUGUCUUUCUCUCUCUCAAAAAUAAACCAACAUUAAAAAAAACAAAA